This 323-nucleotide small nuclear RNA is filed under the name Nannospalax galili (Upper Galilee mountains blind mole rat). Its description in RNAcentral is "7SK RNA (ENSNGAG00000004020.1)". It matches the Rfam family "7SK RNA". From Rfam's summary of the family: 7SK was discovered as an abundant small nuclear RNA in the mid-70s but a possible function has only recently been suggested. Two independent studies have found that 7SK RNA binds the CDK9/cyclin T complex (known as elongation factor P-TEFb). The record is from Rfam by way of RNAcentral. Lineage: Eukaryota; Metazoa; Chordata; Mammalia; Rodentia; Spalacidae.
GGAUGUGAGGGAGAUCUGGCUGCGACAUCUGUCACCCCAUUGAUCGCCAGGGUUGAUUCAGCCGAUCUGGCUAGCUAGGCGGGUGCCCCCUUCCUCCCUCAAAGCUCCAUGUGCGUCCCUCCUGAAGCUGCACCCUUGGUUGAAGAGGACAACCUUCCCCCAUAGAGGAGGACAGGUCUUCCGUCACGGGUAUCUGAGUAGCUGCGCUCCCCUGCUAGAACCUCCAAAUAAGCUUUCAAGAGUGAAAACAGAGCCAGGCGUGGUGGCACAUGCCUUUAGUCCCAGCAUUUGGGAGGCAGAGGCACGUGGAUCCCUGUGAGUUC